This 64-nucleotide microRNA precursor is filed under the name Xenopus laevis (African clawed frog). Its description in RNAcentral is "Xla-Mir-130-P3a4_pre stem-loop". It matches the Rfam family "mir-454 microRNA precursor family", at positions 23 to 88 of the family's 103-position model. Lineage: Eukaryota; Metazoa; Chordata; Amphibia; Anura; Pipidae. The record is from RNAcentral.
ACCCUAUCAAUAUUGCCUCUGCUUUUGUGCUCAGAGUAGUAGUGCAAUAUUGCUUAUAGGGUCU